Molecule: ribosomal RNA, 431 nt
Filed under: uncultured Methanomicrobiales archaeon
Lineage: Archaea; Methanobacteriati; Methanobacteriota; Methanomicrobia; Methanomicrobiales
Description: bacterial SSU rRNA
Rfam family: Archaeal small subunit ribosomal RNA
Source: RNAcentral
CGGACUCAACGCCGGGAAACUCACCAGAUAAGACAGCUGAAUGAUAGUCGGGCUGAAGACUCUACUUGACUAGCUGAGAGGAGGUGCAUGGCCGUCGUCAGUUCGUACUGUGAAGCAUCCUGUUAAGUCAGGCAACGAGCGAGACCCACGCCAACAGUUGCCAGCUCGUCCUCCGGGAUGGUGGGGACACUGUUGGACCGCCUCUGCUAAAGAGGAGGAAGGAAUGGGCAACGGUAGGUCAGCAUGCCCCGAAUUAUCUGGGCUACACGCGGGCUACAAUGGGUGGGACAAUGGGUAUCGACACCGAAAGGUGAAGGCAAUCUCCUAAACCCAUCCGUAGUUCGGAUUGUGGGCUGCAACUCGCCCACAUGAAGCUGGAAUCUGUAGUAAUCGUGUCUCAAAAUGGCACGGUGAAUAUGUCCCUGCUCCUU